UACUGAUGAUGAUCCUUUCUCGACGGGCGGACAUAAGGAAAUCGCCUCUGGCGCUUUUUGCUGAUUGUCGAGUCCUGAAUG
This is a small nucleolar RNA of Chelonoidis abingdonii (Abingdon island giant tortoise), 81 nucleotides long. Lineage: Eukaryota; Metazoa; Chordata; Testudines; Testudinidae. The record is from Ensembl.